Molecule: long non-coding RNA, 530 nt
Filed under: Homo sapiens (human)
Lineage: Eukaryota; Metazoa; Chordata; Mammalia; Primates; Hominidae
Description: non-protein coding lnc-RLN1-3:3
Source: RNAcentral
GUGUGGUUUCCCAUAAGGAAGCUCUUCUUCCUGCUUGGCUUCCACCUUUAACCCUUCCACCUGGGAGCGUCCUCUAACACAUUCAGACUACAAGUCCAGACCCAGGAGAGCAAGGCCCAGAAAGAGGUCAAAAUGGGGUUUAUAUUUUCAAAAUCUAUGAAUGAAAGCAUGAAAAAUCAAAAGGAGUUCAUGCUUAUGAAUGCUCGACUUCAGAUGAGAUAACUGAAGCCCAAAGAUGAAAAGCAGCUUGCCUGAGGUCACACAGCUAGUAUGUAGGGGAGCUCAGAUUCAAAUCAGGGAGCCUGACUACAGAAUUGGAAUGCUUAUCUCCUCCUGCUUCACAUAUUCAUGAGACAUAUGCAAAAGCCGAGACAUGCUAAUGUGAGAAUGUGAGUUAGCCUUAAGCAAUUUGCUUUAUGAAUAACUGUAUUAUAAUUGCACAAUAAUGAUACAGUGAAUAGGAAGUGUUAGUAGAAGUUUUAAGACACAAUUAAAGAUAAGUUGUAGAAAUAAAGAAUACAUUCCUCUGG